GGGAAGUGUACUGCGGUGACAGAGGAAUAACUUGCUCAUCCUUGGUGCGUCUGAGGAAGUGCUUGGAAGAGAAUCAUCCUUCGUGAAGUAUUCGAAGGAGGUGGUCAUCCUUUGUGAAGACUCAAAGGAGGUGUAAGUUCAUCUCUUGUGGUUUCAAGAGAGGUGGUAUUCUAAACUCUUAUAAGUUAAUUUUCUGCGUGAUUAUUAAUUGUAAUUGUUUUUUGUUUAGUGGAAAAAGGUUUAUCUUGGUUUUGAGAUAAGCGACUGGACGUAGGAUCCUUGUGAUCUGAACCAGGAUAAAAUCACUUGUGCAAUUUUUCUCUCUUCCUUACUCUAUUUAAUUUAGUUUAAUUAUCUGCUUUGUAAGUGAAUUUGAGAAAAAUAAUAAAAGGCACGAAAAAGGCAUAUAACCAAUUCAUCCCCCUCUUGGUUUGUUAUCCCACACUAAUAAUUCCGUUG
Molecule: long non-coding RNA, 459 nt
Filed under: Vigna radiata
Lineage: Eukaryota; Viridiplantae; Streptophyta; Magnoliopsida; Fabales; Fabaceae
Description: long non-coding RNA (VRAD_LNC001676)
Source: RNAcentral